Erinaceus europaeus (western European hedgehog) is the source of this 279-nucleotide long non-coding RNA. RefSeq lists it as uncharacterized. Lineage: Eukaryota; Metazoa; Chordata; Mammalia; Eulipotyphla; Erinaceidae. The record is from RefSeq and is a predicted model, not a curated record. The transcript is spliced from 4 exons.
GGGUCUCAGGGCUGCAGGUUGGGGGUCUCAGGGCUGCAGGUUGGGGGUCUCAGGGCUGCAGGUUGGGGUCUCAGGGCUGCAGGUUGGGGGUCUCAGGGUGCAGGUUGGGGGUCUCAGGCUGCAGGUUGGGGGUCUCAGGGCUGCAGGUUGGGGGUCUCAGGGUGCAGGUUGGGGGUCUCAGGCUGCAGGUUGGGGGUCUCAGGGCUGCAGGUUGGGGGUCUCAGGCUGCAGGUUGGGGGUCUCAGGGCUGCAGGUUGGGGGUCUCAGGGCUGCAGGUUG